GGUAAUGUGGCCGAGAUUAUGCGGCGAGUUGUACCCCUCGUAACCGGGGGCAGACCUCGCAGUACCAGGCC
RNAcentral lists this transfer RNA (71 nucleotides) under Lygodactylus graniticolus. Its description in RNAcentral is "tRNA-Tyr". Lineage: Eukaryota; Metazoa; Chordata; Lepidosauria; Squamata; Gekkonidae. The record is from RNAcentral.